UGGGGAAUAUUGCACAAUGGGCGAAAGCCUGAUGCAGCGACGCCGCGUGAAGGAUGAAGUAUUUCGGUAUGUAAACUUCUAUCAGCAGGGAAGAAAAUGACGGUACCUGACUAAGAAGCCCCGGCUAACUACGUCGCC
Molecule: ribosomal RNA, 138 nt
Filed under: uncultured bacterium
Lineage: Bacteria
Description: partial 16S ribosomal RNA
Rfam family: Bacterial small subunit ribosomal RNA
Source: RNAcentral